This 75-nucleotide transfer RNA is filed under the name Rhodococcus phage NiceHouse. Its description in RNAcentral is "tRNA-Lys". It matches the Rfam family "tRNA". From Rfam's summary of the family: Transfer RNA (tRNA) molecules are approximately 80 nucleotides in length. Their secondary structure includes four short double-helical elements and three loops (D, anti-codon, and T loops). Lineage: Duplodnaviria; Heunggongvirae; Uroviricota; Caudoviricetes. The record is from RNAcentral.
GCGUCGCUAGUUUAAUUGGCAAAACCGCAGGCUUUUACCCUGUCAGACUCUCGGUUCGAAUCCGAGGCGGCGCAC